This 1074-nucleotide small RNA is filed under the name Oryza sativa Japonica Group (Japanese rice). RNAcentral describes it as "sRNA Os10g0194225". The record is from RNAcentral. Lineage: Eukaryota; Viridiplantae; Streptophyta; Magnoliopsida; Poales; Poaceae.
AAGAUACUACUUGAACGAGUUCUCAAUGUCGAUUACAAAGCGAAAUCUGACAUCCCGGUCAACAAGCCUCUGAAGAGCCUCGUUGAUGUAAUCUAUCUUGAUCAUCUCGAUAUCUGGGUAGAUUUUGUUUGCCGCACAGAAGUUUAUCAUCUCCUGGAUGUCCUUCGUACCUCCAGUUACACUACCAGAUAAACUCCGCCCACCUACAUGAGUUUGCAGGAUGCACUUUGAUUUCACUUGGGAAGCUAAGUAGUGCCAUUACACCACCAACUUUCAGAAGCGUGAGAUAAGGAUCGAAUGGGUGAUCGCCGGAGGCUGUGUCAAUAAUGAAGUUCAGAGAGCUUUUCAAGACCUCCAUCUGAUUUUCAUCCGAUGACACCACGAAAUUAUCUGCACCAAGAAGGUCAAUAGCUUCUUUUCUCUUUGAUUCACUAGUACUAAUAACUGUGACUUUCAGUCCAAAGGCUUUCCCAAAUUUUACUGCCAUGUGACCCAAGCCACCAAGUCCAAUGACGCCGAGUGACUUCCCUGGCUGGUUCAUAUUAUGCCGCAUCAUCGGACUAUAUACAGUGAUGCCAGCACAAAGUAAAGGUGCUGCCUUUUCCAAAGGGUAGCCAUCAGGUAUUUUAAAGCAAUACCUUCAUGUACUACUAUGUGAGUAGAAUAUCCUCCCUUUGUGACAGUCCCAUCAGUGUCAACACCAUUGAAAGUGAAGACAUGUUGUGAGCAGUAGUUCUCUAGAGAGCUAUUGCAGUUCUCACAGUCCCGGCAUGAAUUCACGUAUGUGCCAACACCUACAUGGUCACCCACUUUGAAGCUCUUGACGUCUGCACCAACCUCAGUUACAACUCCUGCUAUCUCAUGCCCAGGGACUAAAGGGUACAUCGAAUUGUUGAGUAUAUUCCUUGUCCAUGCAACAUCAGCAUAACAAACACCACAGUGUGUGAUCCUCAAGGAAACAUCGUCACUUUUGUGAUUUAACCUGCGGUUGAACUUGUACGGGGAGAGGAUCCCUGAAGGAUCUCUCGCUGCCCAAGCAUCACAGUUGCCACUUCCACAUUCAGCAGCCAUGCC